This 403-nucleotide ribosomal RNA is filed under the name bacterium. RNAcentral's name for it is "partial 16S ribosomal RNA". It matches the Rfam family "Bacterial small subunit ribosomal RNA", at positions 355 to 776 of the family's 1533-position model. The record is from RNAcentral.
UGGGGAAUAUUGCACAAUGGGGGAAACCCUGAUGCAGCGACGCCGCGUGAACGAAGAAGGUAUUCGUAUCGUAAAGUUCUGUCCUAUGGGAAGAUAAUGACAGUACCAUAGAAGAAAGCUCCGGCUAGAUACGUGCCAGCAGCCGCGGUAAUACGUAUGGAGCGAGCGUUGUCCGGAAUUAUUGGGCGUAAAGGGUACGCAGGCGGUUUAAUAAGUCGAAUGUUAAAGAUCGGGGCUCAACCCCGUAAAGCAUUGGAAACUGAUAAACUUGAGUAGUGGAGAGGAAAGUGGAAUUCCUAGUGUAGUGGUGAAAUACGUAGAUAUUAGGAGGAAUACCAGUAGCGAAGGCGACUUUCUGGACACAAACUGACGCUGAGGUACGAAAGCGUGGGGAGCAAACAGG